Molecule: long non-coding RNA, 613 nt
Organism: Conger conger (European conger)
Lineage: Eukaryota; Metazoa; Chordata; Actinopteri; Anguilliformes; Congridae
Exons: 3
Source: RefSeq, a predicted model, not a curated record
ACAAAUAUUCAGUCAAUGCAGUUACUUCCUGUGGAAUAGGCGUUACUAUGGUAUUCUUCAACAAUUUACGAUAUUUCCGCGCAUAGUUCAACAGAAUGUCUUUACAAUACGCACUUGACGCUCAGAUCGUCAUUCUUUGUGAAGAUGGCGGGCAAACUCAAAAGCGGCGAAAUGAAAGAUGUCUUAUUGCGUUUAAACACCAUCAACAAUUCAUGUGAUUCCGCGGUAGCUACACUUCUCGAGAGACAGAAUGAGUUGAGCAGAGCACUCGAGACACAAAAAUACCUCAAUAAGAGUGUGAUGCCCCUUUACACAGCCCUUGUGCCACAAGAAGACCACGUACGACCACAAAGUGGGGAACAUCCAUAAAUCCACAUGUAUUGUGAAAAAUAUUUCGUUGAUUUGGACAGCUGCCUGGUAUGAGAACAUCGCAGGCAGCUUGAUACACUUGUGAAGAUGCUGCGUUGUUCUGUGAGAGAAGUGCUCGUUCGGUGGUCGUCUAGAACUCUAAUGUUAAAGGAAUUAAUUCAGUAAUUUUGUGGCUUAAUUCAUCUUGAAUAUAAUUUUUCCAACAUUUUGAAUCAUUCUUUAAUACACUCGUUGUUGUUAUGCA